GCCUGACUGGCUCAGUUGGUAGAGCAUGUGACUCUUGAUCUUGGGGUCAUGAGUUCAAGUCCCAUGUUGGGCG
Molecule: non-coding RNA, 73 nt
Organism: Lynx canadensis (Canada lynx)
Lineage: Eukaryota; Metazoa; Chordata; Mammalia; Carnivora; Felidae
Source: the annotation of a RefSeq genome assembly